GACGAACCGUGCGAACGUUGUUCGGAAUCACUGGGCUUAAAGGGCGCGUAGGCGGCUUCGCAAGUCCGGGGUGAAAGCCUCCGAGCUCCAACUGGAGAAGUGCCUUGGAUACUGCGGGGCUCGAGGGAGGUAGGGGUGCGUGGAACUUCCGGUGGAGCGGUGAAAUGCGUUGAUAUCGGGAGGAACACCAGUGGCGAAGGCGACUACCUGGCCUGUUCUUGACGCUGAGGCGCGAAAGCUAGGGGAGCAAACGGGG
This 256-nucleotide ribosomal RNA is filed under the name uncultured bacterium. Its description in RNAcentral is "partial 16S ribosomal RNA". It matches the Rfam family "Bacterial small subunit ribosomal RNA", at positions 524 to 777 of the family's 1533-position model. The record is from RNAcentral.